GUGUGUGUGUGUGUGUGGUACCUCAGGAGGUGUGUGUGUGUGUGUGGUACCUCAGGAGGUGUGUGUGUGUGUGGGGUACCUCAGGAGGUGUGUGUGGGGUACCUCAGGAGGUGUGUGUGGGGUACCUCAGGAGGUGUGUGUGGGGUACCUCAGGAGGUGUGUGUGUGGGGUACCUCAGGAGGUGUGUGUGUGGUACCUCAGGAGGUGUGUGUGGUACAUGGUGUGUGGUACCUCAGGAGGUGUGUGUGUGUGGUACCUCAGGAGGUGUGUGUGGGGUACCUCAGGAGGUGUGUGUGGGGUACCUCAGGAGGUGUGUGUGUGUGGGGUACCUCAGG
This is a long non-coding RNA of Salvelinus fontinalis (brook trout), 335 nucleotides long. RefSeq lists it as uncharacterized. The transcript has 4 exons. The record is from RefSeq and is a predicted model, not a curated record. NCBI's taxonomy places the organism in Eukaryota, Metazoa, Chordata, Actinopteri, Salmoniformes, Salmonidae.